This 1243-nucleotide long non-coding RNA is filed under the name Betta splendens (Siamese fighting fish). Its description in RNAcentral is "lncRNA (ENSBSLG00000018572.1)". Lineage: Eukaryota; Metazoa; Chordata; Actinopteri; Anabantiformes; Osphronemidae. The record is from RNAcentral.
AUGAGUGUUUGUGUGUGGGAAGAGGAUGAAGCAGAGUCUCCAGGAUGCAUAUCUGCAUACAGUGCUGAACCUGGAACCUCUGACACAAAUUGCCUGCCUGAUCACCGUUCUGCCAGGUUAACCUCGUCGUCUUCUGGAUCAGAGGAGGUUCUGGAUGACUUGGACCUAUACAAUUACAACACAUCAAAGGAGGGACGAUGGAGACCGAUCCCAGCUGUGAGGAACUGCAGAAAGUUUAAGUAAGUCCAACGUUAAUGUGAUCAUUAAUAUUCUACAGCAAAAAAAGCUGAAACCUCAGUGUUAAAGAGAAACACUUCACACACAAAGAAUCUAAACAAUCACAGUCUGAAAACAUCAACUACUGGUUCCUAGAAAACAUCUUUGUUGUCUUCAGCUCUUUGACAAUCAGAUCAAAGCAGCUGUAAAGUUAAUGAACAUUGUUGGGUCUAAAGUAACCACCAACACUUUUCAUAGGACAAAGGACAACAAAGCACAACAACCCAACAACUUUUACUUGCACAAGGGGAGCCCGUCUGAGGUCUUUAAUGUUGUAAGCGUUUCACCCAGGUACUGCGAAAUCCAACAAUCUCCCCUUAGUGCAGGCUUUUUAUUAAAAUGUGACACGCCUUGAAGUUGCAUGAUAUGGGCAUAUGGUAUGGUUACAAUGAAUACAGCAAAGUAUAACAUGUUCCUGUUACUGACAGCAUUAAAACAUUGAACGCAUAUAUCCUUCAUAAUGACAACAUGUAAAAAACAAUAAUAAUGUGGGUGAUGUAACAUAAUAAUAGGAAAAUUAUAAAUCAGUCAGUAAAUCAUAUUUACUCUAACAAACAUCAGUAUCUUCUCUCAUUCAUUGCUUGAUGGUGCUUUAAUUCAAAUCCAACAGAUAAAACUUAGCUAUGAAGAGUUUCUUGAGAUUUGUUUCAGUUUCUGCUGAAACAAAUCAAACAGAUCAAUGAGACCAUUAAAACCAACUUCUCAUCAGGCACCAUGGAAACAAGUGUGAAGUCAAACCAACGUGUCUCCAAAACAGGCAGAAGUAAAGGAGAAGACAAACUGACCCCCUGACAUUGUUACAACCAAUAGGAGGUUUGUACAUUAAACCACAGACUAGUGUUUAUAUUUGGGGGCACAGGUUUUAUGCAAGGUUUUAACAAGAAUUAAUAUUAAGGCCGUUAAAUUAUUUACUGACCAAGAAGCCACUGAUUUGGUUCCAGCUUCAAGUCUACUCCCAAUCACGUUG